AACUUUCGGCAAUGGAUCUCUUGGCUCUCGCAUCGAUGAAGAACGCAGCGAAAUCCGAUAAGUAAUGUGAAUUGCAGAAUUCAGUGAAUCAUCGAAUCUUUGAACGCACCUUGCACCCUGUGGCAUUCCGAAGGGUAUGCUCGUUCGAGUGUCAUUGUACUCUCACACUCCCAAUCCCUUUGGAUUGGGAGCGGUGGACUUGGGUGUUGCCGCUUGACUGAGGCUCACCUGAAAUAUGUUAGUGCAUCUCUUGAUUGGACAUAGUACGGCGUGAUAAGUGUCUUCGCCGGCUCCUCGCAAAGAGGGUGGCCGAUCGGGAGCUCUGUUGCUUCAAACUGUCUUCGGACAAUCUUCUGACAACUUGACCUCAAAUCGAGUAGGACUACCCGCUGAACUUAAGCAUAUCAAUAAGCGGAGGCU
Molecule: unclassified non-coding RNA, 420 nt
Filed under: uncultured Sebacinaceae
Lineage: Eukaryota; Fungi; Basidiomycota; Agaricomycetes; Sebacinales; Sebacinaceae
Description: sequence contains ITS2
Rfam family: 5.8S ribosomal RNA (bases 1-154)
Source: RNAcentral